Molecule: ribosomal RNA, 432 nt
Filed under: uncultured bacterium
Lineage: Bacteria
Description: bacterial SSU rRNA
Rfam family: Bacterial small subunit ribosomal RNA
Source: RNAcentral
CGAACGAACGCUGGCGGCAGGCCUAACACAUGCAAGUCGAGCGCCCCGCAAGGGGAGCGGCGGACGGGUGAGUAACGCGUGGGAACGUACCCUUUGCUACGGAAUAGCCUCGGGAAACUGGGAGUAAUACCGUAUGUGCCCUUCGGGGAAAGAUUUAUCGGCAAAGGAUCGGCCCGCGUUGGAUUAGGUAGUUGGUGGGGUAAUGGCCUACCAAGCCGACGAUCCAUAGCUGGUUUGAGAGGAUGAUCAGCCACACUGGGACUGAGACACGGCCCAGACUCCUACGGGAGGCAGCAGUGGGGAAUCUUAGACAAUGGGCGCAAGCCUGAUCUAGCCAUGCCGCGUGAGCGAUGAAGGCCUUAGGGUUGUAAAGCUCUUUCAGUGGGGAAGAUAAUGACUGUACCCACAGAAGAAGCCCCGGCUAACUCCGUG